RNAcentral lists this ribosomal RNA (427 nucleotides) under uncultured bacterium. Its description in RNAcentral is "partial 16S ribosomal RNA". It matches the Rfam family "Bacterial small subunit ribosomal RNA", at positions 354 to 796 of the family's 1533-position model. The record is from RNAcentral.
GUGGGGAAUAUUGGGCAAUGGGGGAAACCCUGACCCAGCGACGCCGCGUGAGGGAAGAAGGCCUUAGGGUCGUAAACCUCUGUUGUGUGGGAAGAAGAGCGUGACGGUACCACACGAGGAAGUCCCGGCUAACUACGUGCCAGCAGCCGCGGUAAUACGUAGGGGACGAGCGUUGUCCGGAUUUACUGGGCGUAAAGGGCGCGUAGGCGGUCAUUUAAGUCAGCUGUGAAAUGGUUUGGCUUAACCGGAUCAUGCGGUUGAAACUGGAUGACUGGAGUGCUGGAGAGGCAAGUGGAAUUCCCAGUGUAGCGGUGAAAUGCGUAGAUAUUGGGAAGAACACCGGUGGCGAAGGCGACUUGCUGGCCAGUAACUGACGCUGAGGCGCGAAAGCCAGGGGAGCAAACGGGAUUAGAAACCCCGGUAGUCC